This 1996-nucleotide ribosomal RNA is filed under the name Rhytimenia maculata. Its description in RNAcentral is "eukaryotic LSU rRNA". It matches the Rfam family "Eukaryotic large subunit ribosomal RNA", at positions 51 to 2190 of the family's 3401-position model. Lineage: Eukaryota; Rhodophyta; Florideophyceae; Gigartinales; Kallymeniaceae. The record is from RNAcentral.
UGGAGGAAAAGAAACUAACAAGGAUUCCCCUAGUAGCGGCGAGCGAAGCGGGAAGAGCCCAAGAUGAAAAGCCUGCUUGCAGGCGUUGUAUUUGGGCGUCCUUGGGGUGUCAGUGCGGGCAAGUUGUAUGGAAAUACACGCCGUGGAGGGUGAGAGCCCCGUCCAACCUGCACAGGACAUGCCGUACAAGGGCGUCUCAGACGAGUCGGGUAGCUUGGGAAUGCUGCUCUAAUUGGUGGUAAAUCUCAUCAAAGGCUAAAUAACGGCUGGAGACCGAUAGCGAACAAGUACCGUGAGGGAAAGAUGACAAGCACUUUGAAAAGAGGGUGAAAAGAGCCUGAAACCGUCAUGGGGGAAGCGGAUUGCGUUGGAUUGGAGGGUUGCUGCGUGUUCAGCCGUAAGGUGCAUUGGCGCAGUAGCUUAUCUGCCGUGGGUUCUGGGUGGUUGAUUUUGAACUGCUCGGGGCUGAGGGCUCCCUUUCAUAGGUGAGGACGGUGGAGUAACGACGCGAUACGACCCGUCUUGAAACACGGACCAAGGAGUCUAGCGCGGGUGCGAGUCAGAGGGUGCAAGCCCGUGGGCAAAGUGAAAGCGAGUGUAAAAACGAGCAGUUUGGGGCGGCAUGAGAUCGUUGAUCUCAAGACCGACCUUGAGCAGUUGCGCUGGGACCCGAAAGAUGGUGAACUAUGCCGGAGUAGGGCAAAGCCAGAGGAAACUCUGGUGGAGGCUCGUAGCGGUGCUGACGUGCAAAUCGCUCGUCCAACUUGGGUAUAGGGGCGAAAGACUAAUCGAACCAUCUAGUAGCUGGUUCCCUCCGAAGUUUCUCUCAGGAUAGCGGGCCGACAUGUGUUGUUUUGUGCGGUAAAGCGAAUGAUUAGCGCAUUCGGGGGCUGUCAGCCUUUGGGCGAUUCUCAAACUUUCAAUGCGCAAGGGUGCCGCUGCUUUGUUGAGCGGCACCGGCAAAAACGUCGGCCCUGUGGGCCACUUUUGGUAAGCAGAACUGGCGAUACGGGAUGAACCGUAAGCGUGGUUAAGGCGCCUCACUGCCCGCUUAGAGAUCCCACAAAAGGUGUUGAUUCAUCGAGACAGCAGGACGGUGGCCAUGGAAGUCGGAAUCCGCCAAGGAGUGUGUAACAACUCACCUGCCGAAUGAAUUAGCCCUGAAAAUGGAUGGCGCUGAAGCGGGCGGCCGACACCACGCCGUCUGGUAAAGAAUCAUGAUCAGAUGAGUAGGAGGGCGUGGUGGCCGUGUCGAAGCGUGCGUGCAGACGCGCGUGGAACGGCCACUAGUGCAGAUCUUGGUGGUAGUAGCAAGUAUUCAAGCGAGAUCCUUGAAGGGCGAAGCGGGGAAGGGUUCCACGCGAACAUUGAUUGGGCGUGGGUGAGUCGUUCCUAAGCCGAGUGGCGAUUGCUAAGUAGCGGCGAAAGGGAAGCGGGUUGACAUUCCCGCACACGGAUGUGGAGGCGGUGACGCGUAUUGGGGCGAACACGCUGGCGACGGCGCUGGGCAGAGUUGUCUUUUCUGUUUGACCUAUUUCCACGCGGUGUGGAAUCCGCUUGUCGGGAGAAACACGCGUGUCGGGGCAGAGCGCCGGGGCUUUUCCGGCGUCCAGCUCGCCGUCGACGGCCCUUGAAACUUUGCCUGCUGAUUUAAAUCCACGCCGUGGCGUACCGAUCACCGCAUCAGGUCCCCAAGGUGAACAGCCUCUGCUCGAUAUGAACAAUGCAGGUAAGGGAAGUCGGCAAAUUAGACCCCUAACUUUGGGAUAAGGGUUGGCUCUAGUGCUGCGUGGGAGUGGUUGCCUAGUGUCGGGGUUUUUGGUGAGGCUGGCUUGGCGCGGGACCCCUCGGGGACCUGUUCCGGCUGCUAAACUGAUCAUUCUGCGUUGGGCGACGCCCACAGCAUGCAGCAGACUAGAACUGCAACGGGCAAAGGGAAUCCGACUGUUUAAUUAAAACAAAGCAUUGCGAGGGCCGUGGCCGGUGAUGACGCAAU